Molecule: long non-coding RNA, 628 nt
Organism: Thamnophis elegans (Western terrestrial garter snake)
Lineage: Eukaryota; Metazoa; Chordata; Lepidosauria; Squamata; Natricidae
Exons: 3
Source: RefSeq, a predicted model, not a curated record
GGCGGGGCUGGCUUCUCCAGGGCUUCGCGGUCUCCAACCGAGCCGCCAAGGGGGGAGUUUUGCGGGGAGGGGGCGCUGCCUGAUACACUGGGCCCAUUUAGACAACAGUUAGAAAACGGAGGCCCAAUAUCCAGCAAGCGAGGAGCUGGAAAAGGAAGCUGUGAGGAGAUUUGAGCAGGAAGGGGACAUAUGAUGAUGGAAGAGAAGACCAUGGGUUCGGAGGUCCAGCAUUGGCACUUCAGGAUAUCCACUACGCGGAGGCUAAGGGCCCCCGAGAGAUUUGCAGUUAUCUCCAUCACUUUUGCCGUGGGUGGCUGAAGCCAGAAAGAUACACAAAGGCCCAGAUGCUGGACCUGGUGUUCUGGAGCAGCUCCUGGCUAUCCUUCCCCCGGAGAUGGAGGGCUGGGUGCGAGAGUGUGGAGCAGAGACCAGCUCCCAGGCGGUGGCCCUGGCAGAAGGUUUCCUCCUGAGCCAAGCAGAGGAGCAGAAGGGGCAGGUCGAGUUGCAGGGGCAAGAAUCCUUCCUUCAGAUGGUCCCCAAAUUUCCCACGGGGAGGAGUAAUCCUUCAAGUCUCUUUCCAGAGCUUGGAGCCUCUGUAGAUGAUCAAAAUUCUGACAUCUUUCUAGGU